UACGGAGGGGGCGAGCGUUAUUCGGAAUUAUUGGGCGUAAAGGGCGCGUAGGCGGCAUGGUAAGUCAAAGGUGAAAUCCCUCGGCUCAACUGAGGAAUAGCCUUUGAAACUGCCAAGCUUGAGGCCGGGAGGGGGUAGCGGAAUUCCCAGUGUAGCGGUGAAAUGCGUAGAUACUGGGAGGAACACCGGUGGCGAAGGCGGCUACCUGGACCGGAUCUGACGCUGAUGCGCGAAAGCGUGGGGAGCAAACAGG
This 253-nucleotide ribosomal RNA is filed under the name uncultured bacterium. RNAcentral's name for it is "partial 16S ribosomal RNA". It matches the Rfam family "Bacterial small subunit ribosomal RNA", at positions 524 to 776 of the family's 1533-position model. The record is from RNAcentral.